AAUCAAACGAAACAAUAAACAAAACAUUGAAAACAAAAGCAAAAAUCAAUGGAACAAAAUAAAAAGAAAUGAAAUUCAACAAAAAAUAUUCUUAUGUCUGCAAAGCAACUCCUUCACACAUCAUUCACAGCCCCGUUCAUUUAUUCAGAACCACUUGACUGCGGCGGGCAUUGGCUGCGUUUUGUAAAAAACGGAGUCAAAAUCGAAGAGAAUGGGUGCGGGAUUUUGGGCAGGACACGCGUCGCACAUUAAUGCAUUUCGCACAUUAACUUUACACUUGAAAAAGUUAAGUGGCAUUUGUAUGAUGUGCUCUGUGCAACGGAAGGAAGCAUAAAAUCUGUUCCAUUAAUCAUAAAGAAUGCAACAGGAUAUGCUUGAGGCUUUCAGGCUUUUACAACACUGAGAGACAACAGCAACAACAGCUACCACAUUGCGGAGGUAGGGGAGGAGGAGGAGGCGCAUUAUCAGCUUUCAAGGGGCUGGCAAUAAGGCCGCAUCCUGGCUGCGUUCACAGUCUCUCAGUCAUGCAGUCAGCAAGCCUUUAAAGCAUAUUUGCAGCUAAUUAAUUAGCGGGUAAAAGUCUGGGUAAGUAGCUCAGCCUGAGGUCACAUGCGCUUUUAAAUAGAUCAUUUCGAGUGUUUCGCAAAAUUCUAAAAAUAAAAACGUCAAUCAAGAGCUGCGAGAUUUUUGGGUUUUUGGAGUCCUUUAAGCCGUCGUGCAUUGAGCGCCUGUCACAACACUCAAAUUCUCAAUUCAGAGACAACACAAAACACAACACAACACUUCAGUCAAGUUCAAGUCCAUGUCGGUGAUACACAGAAAAAAAGAGAAGAAACCGACAGGCUUCAACUGUCGCCUACUUCAGUGUUGUGUGUGUGUUUUUUGCUCAUUAAAUCAACACCUCGGCCUUUGUGGAGUACAAUGGCCAAAAGCUGGACAGAUUUGUUGGGCAAAAUCAAAGAAUUUGGCUCAGCCUGACCAAACAAGGCCGCAUCCCAGGCGAGGACAACAACAGGCAGUAAAUGUGUCGUCGUAAGGGGAUUUUUGCAUUUGCAACCUUUUUGCGAUUUCAAUUUAAAAUUUAAACAAAUAUGCAGCCAGAGACAGGGACAGAGACGCAUGGCGAAUCCACAAGGAAUCGAGUCGAGGAAUGUGAGAAUUUCUGACUGCUAAAGCUGCAGAUACAGCUAAUAAUACAGAUAGUUUGAGUUUGCAGUUGAAGUGGAAGUUGAAGUUCGAAAUUACUUGCUGUACUUAGCGUGUUUACAUAAAUUAGCCUCAAGAGUGACGUUCACAGCGUUGCAGUUGCAGUUGCAGGACGUUGCAAAAGUUUUGUACACAAGAAUUUCCUCGUAAAAAUGACGCAUACCAAACUUAGACACAACGGGGACGACGACGACUACGACGACGAAUCGUUCGUGGAUGUCGCACUGCCUGACGUUCCGUUCCAAAACUCAACAAGGCUGAGUUCGAGCCAGACACCAAGCCCAAGUCGAGGUCCAGCUCCAUACCAAAUUGGUAUUGGUGUGCCAAGCGAAAUACUCGUACAAUAAAUAACGCAGCAAAAUAAAAGAAAAACUAAAAUAAAAAUAAAAAA
Drosophila albomicans is the source of this 1597-nucleotide long non-coding RNA. RefSeq lists it as uncharacterized. The record is from RefSeq and is a predicted model, not a curated record. NCBI's taxonomy places the organism in Eukaryota, Metazoa, Arthropoda, Insecta, Diptera, Drosophilidae. The transcript is spliced from 3 exons.